AUGAGGCGAUCUUCUUCGUCGUCCUGGCUCGCAAGCGCCGUGGUCCUCCUGCCUAUUAUCGCAUGGUGCUUCCUGCUGCCAUGCUGCGCCGCCAGGCCCAAAGGCUUUAAUUUUCCAACCUGGUGGCGUGGACGAGGAAUACAGCCGCAAUCACCUAUGCCCGGGAAAUCGAGGGGACCGAACCAUGACUACGCUCCGCUGCCACAACUUGCGUAG
This 216-nucleotide ribosomal RNA is filed under the name Triticum aestivum (bread wheat). RNAcentral's name for it is "partial small subunit ribosomal RNA". The record is from RNAcentral. Lineage: Eukaryota; Viridiplantae; Streptophyta; Magnoliopsida; Poales; Poaceae.